This 482-nucleotide ribosomal RNA is filed under the name uncultured bacterium. RNAcentral's name for it is "partial 16S ribosomal RNA". It matches the Rfam family "Bacterial small subunit ribosomal RNA", at positions 30 to 507 of the family's 1533-position model. The record is from RNAcentral.
AUUGAACGCUGGCGGCAUGCCUUACACAUGCAAGUCGAACGGUAACAGGUCCUCGGAUGCUGACGAGUGGCGAACGGGUGAGUAAUACAUCGGAACGUGCCCGAUCGUGGGGGAUAACGCAGCGAAAGCUGUGCUAAUACCGCAUACGAUCUACGGAUGAAAGCGGGGGAUCGCAAGACCUCGCGCGGACGGAGCGGCCGAUGGCAGAUUAGGUAGUUGGUGGGAUAAAAGCUUACCAAGCCGACGAUCUGUAGCUGGUCUGAGAGGACGACCAGCCACACUGGGACUGAGACACGGCCCAGACUCCUACGGGAGGCAGCAGUGGGGAAUUUUGGACAAUGGGCGCAAGCCUGAUCCAGCCAUGCCGCGUGCAGGAUGAAGGCCUUCGGGUUGUAAACUGCUUUUGUACGGAACGAAAAAGCUCUCUCUAAUACAGGGGGUGAAUGACGGUACCGUAAGAAUAAGCACCGGCUAACUACGUG